This 492-nucleotide ribosomal RNA is filed under the name uncultured bacterium. RNAcentral describes it as "partial 16S ribosomal RNA". It matches the Rfam family "Bacterial small subunit ribosomal RNA", at positions 29 to 507 of the family's 1533-position model. The record is from RNAcentral.
AGUGAACGCUGGCGGUAGGCCUAACACAUGCAAGUCGAACGGCAGCACAGUAAGAGCUUGCUCUUACGGGUGGCGAGUGGCGGACGGGUGAGGAAUACAUCGGAAUCUACUUUUUCGUGGGGGAUAACGUAGGGAAACUUACGCUAAUACCGCAUACGACCUACGGGUGAAAGCAGUGGAUCUUCGGACCUUGCGCGAUUGAAUGAGCCGAUGUCGGAUUAGCUAGUUGGCGGGGUAAAGGCCCACCAAGGCGACGAUCCGUAGCUGGUCUGAGAGGAUGAUCAGCCACACUGGAACUGAGACACGGUCCAGACUCCUACGGGAGGCAGCAGUGGGGAAUAUUGGACAAUGGGCGAAAGCCUGAUCCAGCCAUACCGCGUGGGUGAAGAAGGCCUUCGGGUUGUAAAGCCCUGUUGUUGGGAAAGAAAAGCAGCAGGUUAAUACCCCGCUGUUCUGACGGUACCCAAAGAAUAAGCACCGGCUAACUUCGUG